CGAAUUUCUCAAAUCUAGUCAUAAACAAUUCAAAAUACUCAACACGAAUCGUAGGAACUAAUUCCAUAUGAAUUUACACAUUUUCCAAACUAAAAUCCGAAAUUUAGCUCAAAAUUGCCCGUGGGGCCCAUGUAUCGAAAUCCGAGAAACUCAUAAAAUCUGACAACCCAUUCCGAUACGAGUUCAACUAUACAAAAAUUAUCGAAUUCCGAUGUCAAAUGGACCUUCAAAUCCUAAAUUUUCAAUUUUGGAAAGUUUUACAAAAACUACAAUUUCUUUCAUCCAAAUCCAAAAUAAACGAUGAAUAUUGAUAUAGAUUUAUGAAAUGUACCCACUUCUGAAUAUAGAACACUUACCCAAGUCGAAAUCGUGAAAAACCUCUUUGAAAUCGCCCAAAUCCGAGCUUGAAUAACCAAAAAUGGAAGAAAUUUCGGACCCCUUCGGUUUUUACACUGCCCAAGGGUAUUAUAGGGAUUUUACAUACCUUGCCGCGCUCCCGCCGUGCUCACAGGAAGAAAACUUUCGAAUCGGCACGGUCGUGGCGUGGCCGCGCACCUGGGCGGUAAAAUGGUCAUAACUUUUUGUAUACACCUCCAAAUGACGAACGGUUUGAUGCAUUGGAACUAGACUCAAAGAGAUUUAAUUUGAUAGGUUGUUCAUUACACAACUUCUUAUAUACAUGUAGAUAUUCUCAUACAAAGUGAGGUCUUGUGCGUACUCAUUUGCAACUUUAGUAUAUUACGAAAUUUUCCAACUUGGCUUAGACUUAGGACUUUCCUUAGACCCCAUAUAUCUUAUAGUAUGCCUCGUACACUUGAUAUCAUAUCCCAUUGGUAUUCAUCAUGGUAAUAGACCUCUUACACAUAUAAAAAAAUAUAAUUAGAACACGUCAACUUUCUUAUUUCGUCAAAAUGCACUGAAUUAUCCUAUGGACUUCCAUAUCCAAAUUCUGACAUGCGUCUAAGUCCGAAAUCACCAUACGAAGCUAUUGACAUCACUAAAAUUCUAAUUUGGGGUUUUUUGCUCAAAAGUUAACUCUUCGGUCAACUCUUUCCAUUUGCUUCAAAAAUAAGAUUUUGAUUUUCUUUAAAUUUAACUCCGAAUCUUACGAAAAAUCAAACUUGACCAUACAUGCGGGUCAUAAUGCGUAUUACGAAGCUCCUCGAGGUCUUAAGCCAUUGAACGAGACGCUAAUUCUUAAAACGACAGGUCGGGUCGUUACAGAAGCCCACCAAAUAAAACUUUGCAUUGGCAUGAAUUGACAACAGUGCAUUCAUCGCUCCUAUGAGUCUUUUAGCACAUGAAAGACAAAAAAGGUAAAAUUUUCAAUUUCCAACUUGCAAAAUAUCUAAACAAAAUAUCUCAUCCUUCCAAACCACAAACCAUCAUUUAAAGACAGAAUUCUUAAAAUGGGUAGGAUCAAAUCAGCCCUAAAAUCAAAUGGUUUAUAAGAGUAAUCCAAAUUCACAAUUAUUCACAUGGGAUUUCAACAUUUAAGGCAAAGUCCCUAAUUGAAUGCUUGAAACUAAUCAAGGAUAUAGAGAACCAAAUACGCAAGGACAUGAAUAGGAUCAUCUUGUUCAUAAAUGCAACACUGUCUUAUUAUAUGUGAAAGUCAUCCUAGAAGUUAACCUACUAUUCUCAUAAGCCAUUACUAAGGUAUCAAUUAUAUGUCUACUCUAUGAUUUUGUCACACGUUUAGCAAAAAAACAGAAUCUUAUCUCGCCAUCUCUUAACUUUUACAUGGUAUCCAUUUCAUCACUUGCAGGAGUCUUACACCACUGGAGACUAUAUUAAUGCUAUUGUUAACAGACAGAAAGCUAAAACUAUAAGUAUUGUGUUGUACCAUUUAUUUUGUAAAUCUACCAUUAUACUAAAAGGAGAAUAUACGAAAAUCAGACAAAAUCUCCCUUUUCAAACACACAGCACAAUAUCCAAUCUUGAACUAAUAAUAUAUUAAUACUACCAAAAAUUCUUCCUGGCAAACUACCAGAUUCAAACUGGCACAAUUAGGAAAAGUGAAGACAUCAAAAUUGGUCGAAUUCUCAGAGGAAAACAAAAGGAAUUCAUAUUAACUUAAGUUUUUUGUUCAUACGAGCAGAAGUACAAAAAAUGAGGAAGGCAUGUGUACCUAAUGUUCGCAAAUGGAAUCCAAAUGACCAACUAAAGGCAAAUCCGUGAAAGAUGGAGCUAAGCUGAAGCAAAUAGCCUACGGACUCAGCAAAACAUCAGCGACAGAUCCAGUGACCAAACAAAGCUUCUUCAAACCAAAUGGCACUCGAAAUUCCAGAAAAAUUGAAGCAAAAGAGAAGAAAUUCGAACAGUGUUCAAACCCUUUAUUUUUCUAUUUUUUCGUUCAUUUUUCUUUUGAAUUUGACCAUUUAUCUUGUGUGUGUUUCUUUUUAAUUUGAUGGAAAGAGGAUGAUAAAGAUGGGGAGGGGAAGGCGUUGGCUUUUUCUUGCUAAAGAGGGAGGGUCUGUUUCUGGCUCUUUGUUGAAGAUGAGGAAAUGAAGAAUAAGAAAAGAAAAGGGAGUUGGGUUGCGCCGUUGGUCUGUUUUUUUAGAGAAGGGAGCUUCUGAUUGUUUUCGGUUUUUCUCUGAUUUUCGUUAGGUCUAGAACAUGGGGAGGGU
RNAcentral lists this long non-coding RNA (2630 nucleotides) under Nicotiana tabacum (common tobacco). RNAcentral describes it as "long non-coding RNA (NTAB_LNC003708)". The record is from RNAcentral. Lineage: Eukaryota; Viridiplantae; Streptophyta; Magnoliopsida; Solanales; Solanaceae.